Molecule: long non-coding RNA, 339 nt
Filed under: Gallus gallus (chicken)
Lineage: Eukaryota; Metazoa; Chordata; Aves; Galliformes; Phasianidae
Source: RNAcentral
CUCCUUAUCUGGUACAAAUGCAGGCAGUCUAGAGGCUUCAGACAAGUCAAGACUAGCUGUUGAAGACAUGGAGCCUUGGGAUUCCCGCCUGUAUGAUAAUCCAUUGGACUGAAUAGAAUCAUUUGGAUAAUCACCAUUUUCCUUUCUCUUCUGUGACUUUCCCAAACUCUUACUUCUUGACCAUGAGAAAAACGUCCCCCUUUUUUUCUUCUCAGUAUCCUCCUCUCCUGACUCUUCAUUUAAGGAUCUUCCUGACUUUGAUUUACCACUUAGCUAUCACCAAAAGACAAAUUAUUGGCUGGAACACAACUAUAAGCACGUUAUCUAAAACAAACAUUC